CGAACGGGUGAGUAACGCGUAGGUAACCUGCCUUGUAGCGGGGGAUAACUAUUGGAAACGAUAGCUAAUACCGCAUAACAAUGGAUGACACAUGUCAUUUAUUUGAAAGGGGCAAUUGCUCCACUACAAGAUGGACCUGCGUUGUAUUAGCUAGUAGGUGAGGUAAUGGCUCACCUAGGCGACGAUACAUAGCCGACCUGAGAGGGUGAUCGGCCACACUGGGACUGAGACACGGCCCAGACUCCUACGGGAGGCAGCAGUAGGGAAUCUUCGGCAAUGGGGGCAACCCUGACCGAGCAACGCCGCGUGAGUGAAGAAGGUUUUCGGAUCGUAAAGCUCUGUUGUAAGUCAAGAACGGGUGUGAGAGUGGAAAGUUCACACUGUGACGGUAGCUUACCAGAAAGGGACGGCUAACUACGUGCCAGCAGCCGCGGUAAUACGUAGGUCCCGAGCGUUGUCCGGAUUUAUUGGGCGUAAAGCGAGCGCAGGCGGUUUGAUAAGUCUGAAGUUAAAGGCUGUGGCUCAACCAUAGUUCGCUUUGGAAACUGUCAAACUUGAGUGCAGAAGGGGAGAGUGGAAUUCCAUGUGUAGCGGUGAAAUGCGUAGAUAUAUGGAGGAACACCGGUGGCGAAAGCGGCUCUCUGGUCUGUAACUGACGCUGAGGCUCGAAAGCGUGGGGAGCGAACAGGAUUAGAUACCCUGGUAGUCCACGCCGUAAACGAUGAGUGCUAGGUGUUGGAUCCUUUCCGGGAUUCAGUGCCGCAGCUAACGCAUUAAGCACUCCGCCUGGGGAGUACGACCGCAAGGUUGAAACUCAAAGGAAUUGACGGGGGCCCGCACAAGCGGUGGAGCAUGUGGUUUAAUUCGAAGCAACGCGAAGAACCUUACCAGGUCUUGACAUCCCGAUGCUAUUUCUAGAGAUAGAAAGUUACUUCGGUACAUCGGUGACAGGUGGUGCAUGGUUGUCGUCAGCUCGUGUCGUGAGAUGUUGGGUUAAGUCCCGCAACGAGCGCAACCCCUAUUGUUAGUUGCCAUCAUUCAGUUGGGCACUCUAGCGAGACUGCCGGUAAUAAACCGGAGGAAGGUGGGGAUGACGUCAAAUCAUCAUGCCCCUUAUGACCUGGGCUACACACGUGCUACAAUGGUUGGUACAACGAGUUGCGAGUCGGUGACGGCGAGCUAAUCUCUUAAAGCCAAUCUCAGUUCGGAUUGUAGGCUGCAACUCGCCUACAUGAAGUCGGAAUCGCUAGUAAUCGCGGAUCAGCACGCCGCGGUGAAUACGUUCCCGGGCCUUGUACACACCGCCCGUCACACCACGAG
This 1320-nucleotide ribosomal RNA is filed under the name Streptococcus thermophilus. RNAcentral's name for it is "bacterial SSU rRNA". It matches the Rfam family "Bacterial small subunit ribosomal RNA", at positions 99 to 1408 of the family's 1533-position model. The record is from RNAcentral. Lineage: Bacteria; Bacillati; Bacillota; Bacilli; Lactobacillales; Streptococcaceae.